UAGGGAAUCUUCCGCAAUGGGCGAAAGCCUGACGGAGCAACGCCGCGUGAGUGAUGAAGGUCUUCGGAUCGUAAAACUCUGUUAUUAGGGAAGAACAAAUGUGUAAGUAACUAUGCACGUCUUGACGGUACCUAAUCAGAAAGCCACGGCUAACUACGUGCCAGCAGCCGCGGUAAUACGUAGGUGGCAAGCGUUAUCCGGAAUUAUUGGGCGUAAAGCGCGCGUAGGCGGUUUUUUAAGUCUGAUGUGAAAGCCCACGGCUCAACCGUGGAGGGUCAUUGGAAACUGGAAAACUUGAGUGCAGAAGAGGAAAGGGGAAUUCCAUGUGGAGCGGGGAAAUGCGAAGAGAGAUGGAGGAAAACCAGGGGCGAAGGCGACUGUCUGGUAUGUAACUGACGAUGAGGCACGAAAGCGGGGGGAGCGAAAAGG
Molecule: ribosomal RNA, 429 nt
Filed under: Bacteroidota bacterium
Lineage: Bacteria; Pseudomonadati; Bacteroidota
Description: Bacteroidetes bacterium partial 16S ribosomal RNA
Rfam family: Bacterial small subunit ribosomal RNA
Source: RNAcentral